UUUAUAUGCGGAGAACAGGGAUUAUAAACAAUCCUGGUGGGAGAAUCUGGUUGUUUGGAGGGUCACAGGUGAACUUUGUUAUUUGCCACCCAUCCCCAUCACCCCUCCCAGAUCAUCCAGAUUUCACCGGUUCAGAUGGCUUGCGGUGCCCUAAGAUGUGCUAUACCGAUUGGGAGAGGCAAAGUGGGUGAGGGGUCUUUCCAGCUUUUCUUCAGAAUGUGGUGACUAUUCUUCCAGACACCGAGGAGUGGUCCUGGCUCCCUCCAGAGAUUAUCAGGGCUGCUUUCGAAUCAGCCAGAGAACUUGAUGCAAAGUACUACAAGGUGCUCCCUCCCUAGGUUGAGGACAUUGUCUCUUUACAGUGCUCCUAGCUUUUGCCAUGUCAGGAAUGAAGAACCAGCCCCAAACACGGAUCUCCAGAUGGUAAUCAAACUGUCAUCACUAAGUCAAAUGCUCCUAGGCUCCCAGAUCAAUUUUUCUAUCAGGAAACAGCUUGGCUAUAUAUGAUUGGGCAGAUCUAUCAGGUGAGAAAUCCCCUGUUCUUAGAAUAUUUCUCACCAGGGCUAGAGAUUAAUUAAAAAAUAAAAAGUAAAACACAAUCCUCAA
This is a long non-coding RNA of Chelonia mydas (Green sea turtle), 606 nucleotides long. RefSeq lists it as uncharacterized. The transcript has 2 exons. Lineage: Eukaryota; Metazoa; Chordata; Testudines; Cheloniidae. The record is from RefSeq and is a predicted model, not a curated record.